Molecule: ribosomal RNA, 869 nt
Filed under: Galerina castaneipes
Lineage: Eukaryota; Fungi; Basidiomycota; Agaricomycetes; Agaricales; Galerinaceae
Description: partial large subunit ribosomal RNA
Rfam family: Eukaryotic large subunit ribosomal RNA
Source: RNAcentral
UUCCCCUAGUAACUGCGAGUGAAGCGGGAAAAGCUCAAAUUUAAAAUCUGGUGGUCUUUGGUCAUCCGAGUUGUAAUCUAGAGAAGUGUUAUCCGCGCUGGACCGUGUACAAGUCUCCUGGAAUGGAGCGUCAUAGAGGGUGAGAAUCCCGUCUUUGACACGGACUGCCAGGGCUUUGUGAUGCGCUCUCAAAGAGUCGAGUUGUUUGGGAAUGCAGCUCAAAAUGGGUGGUAAAUUCCAUCUAAAGCUAAAUAUUGGCGAGAGACCGAUAGCGAACAAGUACCGUGAGGGAAAGAUGAAAAGAACUUUGGAAAGAGAGUUAAACAGUACGUGAAAUUGCUGAAAGGGAAACGCUUGAAGUCAGUCGCGUUGGCCGGGAAUCAACCUUGCUUUUGCUGGGCGUACUUUCCGGUUGACGGGUCAGCAUCAAUUUUGACCGUUGGAUAAAGUUCAGGGGAAUGUGGCAUCUUCGGAUGUGUUAUAGCCUUUGUUCGCAUACAACGGUUGGGAUUGAGGAACUCAGCACGCCGCAAGGCCGGGUAUUUAUACCACGUUCGUGCUUAGGAUGCUGGCAUAAUGGCUUUAAUCGACCCGUCUUGAAACACGGACCAAGGAGUCUAACAUGCCUGCGAGUGUUUGGGUGGAAAACCCGAGCGCGUAAUGAAAGUGAAAGUUGAGAUCCCUGUCGUGGGGAGCAUCGACGCCCGGACCAGACCUUUUGUGACGGAUCCGCGGUAGAGCAUGUAUGUUGGGACCCGAAAGAUGGUGAACUAUGCCUGAAUAGGGUGAAGCCAGAGGAAACUCUGGUGGAGGCUCGUAGCGAUUCUGACGUGCAAAUCGAUCGUCAAAUUUGGGUAUAGGGGCGAAAG